GACGAACGCUGGCGGCGUGCCUGACACAUGCAAGUCGGACGGUUCUUGCACCUUCAAGCUUGCUUGCUGGUGCAGGGAUAGUGGCGGACGGGUGAGUAACGCGUGAACAUCUACCCAUUGGAGGGGGACAACCCGUCGAAAGGCGGGCUAAUACCGCGUAAGCCGCGAGGUGAGAGGCUGCCUAUUGGUGGCCGCCGAUGGAUGGGUUCGCGUCCUAUCAGCUGGUUGGUGGGGUAACGGCCUACCAAGGCGAAGACGGGUAGCCGGUCUGAGAGGAUGGCCGGCCACACUGGAACUGAGACACGGUCCAGACUCCUACGGGAGGCAGCAGUGGGGAAUAUUGGGCAAUGGGGGAGACCCUGACCCAGCGACGCCGCGUGAGGGAUGAAGGUUUUCGGAUCGUAAACCUCUGUUGUACGGGAAGAAGGACUUGACGGUACCGUACGAGGAAGCCCCGGCAAACUACGUGCCAGCAGCCGCGGUAAGACGUAGCGUG
Molecule: ribosomal RNA, 496 nt
Filed under: uncultured bacterium
Lineage: Bacteria
Description: bacterial SSU rRNA
Rfam family: Bacterial small subunit ribosomal RNA
Source: RNAcentral